Molecule: long non-coding RNA, 1493 nt
Filed under: Fragaria vesca (wild strawberry)
Lineage: Eukaryota; Viridiplantae; Streptophyta; Magnoliopsida; Rosales; Rosaceae
Description: long non-coding RNA (FVES_LNC002507)
Source: RNAcentral
GUGAUAACAAAGGUAAGUUCAGACGGAAAAGAUUAAAUAUUGGAACUCAACCCAGAAUUUGAUGGGAAUGUAUUGUAAGCCAAGAAGAUUGGCUCUCCGGGAAAAGUCUUCUGAAAAUUGCCCGUUGACUAGAUUAAUGAGCAUAGUUUAUUAGCUGCAAAAGGUGAAACUUAUAAGGUGGUCGGUGAAUUUGCAUCCUAGUAGAGACUUCUAAUUCUGGAAUGAGAUAAUCAUAUCUAGCUAGAACAGCAGCUUAGUAUUUGCUUGAUUCUGGAAUGAGAUAAUCAUAUCUAGCUAGAACAGCAGCUUAGUAUUUGCUUGAUUUUGCUUCUUCUUUUACUUCACUCUAGCUGUGUUGUAGUUGUCAUUUCUUUGUAACAUGAAUACUGCUACUAGUACUUUAUAACUCUAAACUGUUUAUGAUGCGUUGUUUAAGUAGUAUAUGUGAAUACCUUUCCAAUAGAAAUUCGUAGAGUGCGUGGGAAGAUUAUACCCUAUUUGUUGAAGUUCUUAUUUGUUCUACUUUAUUCAUAGAAAGAAUAGAAAGAUCCAGAUCAAGAUUGUAUGAAGAAGAACAAGUAAAUAAAAGGAGAAGCUAGAAGAGUGAUACAGUUGUGAGAAGGAAAGAGGUGUGUUGAUUGGUUGUGGUCGUUGCAUAGAGAAGAACGUCUGCUUGAGGCCGUGGACAAAAAGGCUUGGAAAUGAAUAUGAUGUUGAAGAAGCGCAAAGACUUCUGCUUCUUGGGCUGGCAUGCUCUCAUCCCAUUGCUCACGAGAGGCCUAACAGCCAGACCAUAGUCCAGGUUAUUUCCGGGUCUAUUCCGGCGCCUCAAGUCUCGCUUCCUGAACCGGCCAGGCCGGAGAAUCGGCAGCAUUGCCAAUCAGAACUGGUAACAGAACUUAUUAUAAGUUAAUAGCAAAUUGAAUCAGCUCCUGGUAAGACUUCUGCGUACAACAUAUAUGAGCUGCCAGGUUCUCCCCCGUACACUUAUAUGAAGACUGUCAUAUCACUCUCGUGCGCUAUACUCAAUCCCUCGUUAAUUAAUCUUCCGUGUCUUAAUCGAUCUGAGAUAAAUUAUUGGAUCUUAUUACUUAUUAGUAUCUAUUAAUAUGAUGAGUUCACUGGUGGGCAAGUUUACAAUAGUUCCACCUCCAGGAAGGGAGGAUCAUUACCUCCUCAUGAUGAUGUGUUUGUGUUUGUGUUUCUGCCUUAUGGUAGUGUUAUUGUUUUAGUUUUUACAAGUUUGCUUGCUGUUUGUCUUAGGCGUGUUGCCUAUGGUUGUUUUGGUCGCCUUUAUAGGCUGAGACUACUUAUUUCUUUUAUUUGUUACGUGUUCUAAUGAAUUUGAUUAUUAUUAUUAUUUUUUUAAAGUUUACAAUAGUUUAUUAGUGUUCACUGUUUAGCUACUUCGUAGCACUCAAAUUUAAUUAUUACGGCUAGUCUCCAAAGUAGAGCCACUUUUAUCCUUUGAGAUGUGUUUAGUGUGACUUCAC